CCUCUGGGGAGGCCAAGCAGCAACGUUGCUUGUGUUGAUAGCAGCAGACAACAGCAGGCAGCAGGACCUGGGCCUCCAUGUGGGCUUCCUCUUUCAGGAACCAGCUGUGUCGGCCUGUAGCCACUUUUUCCCCUCCUGCAUUCUCCGCUCUAAGUGCAUAACAGCAGCUGGUGCCCGGUGCUAUGAGGACUGAAGAAUCAGGGUCAGGGUACCCUGUUCUGGAUACUGCAUCAUGGAGAUCCUCUCAUUAGGAGCAGCCGACCCUACGAUGAUUGGCCCCCAACACCAAGCACCUGAGCACUGUUCUGUGGCUGGCUCUGUUCCAACAGUAAAGCUGCUUCUGCUUCUAUUUUCAUUACCACUGCAGCUGUUCAGGACAUGAACAAGGGGAGCUGAUGCCUAUCUUCAGUGGUCUACAGGCAAGAGACAGGGUACACCCUGGACAGGUCGCCAGUCCAUUACUGGGCAAAACACGGAAAGAGAGGACCAACAACCAUGCACACCUACGGGAAACUUAGAGAGAACCUAACAGUCAUGUUUUUGGACUGUGGGAGGAAGUAAGUGGAGUGAAAAAGAUGAACUAUCAUUAAGAGCAAUUGCAUACAUAGGUUCAUCUUUAUUAGGGAAGUCAAACCCCAAGUAGCAGCUCAGCAUUCUGAUCAAGUCCAUUAAAUAAUAUUUUCCCUAGUGGGUGAUUUUACUUAACCUUCGAACUCUGUUUUCACCCUGCUGCCUGUGGUUUUAUGCAUCUAACAAAGUGGCUGUAAAAGGUUUUCUUGAAAAGGGUUGACUAGAGUUGCGGACAUGCUUGUGGUUUGAAACAAUUUUUUACCAAAAAUAAAAGCAGUUCGGUCACCAGUUGGCAGUUUGGG
Girardinichthys multiradiatus is the source of this 872-nucleotide long non-coding RNA. RefSeq lists it as uncharacterized. The transcript has 3 exons. NCBI's taxonomy places the organism in Eukaryota, Metazoa, Chordata, Actinopteri, Cyprinodontiformes, Goodeidae. The record is from RefSeq and is a predicted model, not a curated record.